Long non-coding RNA from Sycon ciliatum, 3220 nucleotides. RefSeq lists it as uncharacterized. NCBI's taxonomy places the organism in Eukaryota, Metazoa, Porifera, Calcarea, Leucosolenida, Sycettidae. The transcript is spliced from 3 exons. The record is from RefSeq and is a predicted model, not a curated record.
CUCGCAUACGAUUAAUUUUUAGAUUAUCGAUCGGGUGACGAAAAACAAAGAAAUAAAAACGCUUGGCCUAAUGGGGCGCUAAUGAUUUCCAUUUUGCAAGGCAUGUCAUGUCGGUGUGUGAUUUGUCCUAGGCUCUGCUUUGGCAGUGGCAGCACUUUCACGUCAGUGCAUGCAGUGUUACAUCAGUAGAUCUACGCAGUUUUUUUCAUAUUUUUUUAUUAUCACCUCAGGAAUGCCACGUAUACUGCUCUUUUGUCUCCGAAACUUUGAAAAUUCUCCGUGAAGUCCAAAUUUGAAACAUCAGGAAUGAUGCUCAUUAUUCUAUAGCGCUGUGUGGUGCAGAAACAACGGUUUGUUGUUGCUGUGUUGUAUGUUCUGGAACAGGUUCUCUUCAACGUCACGAGUCUAUCAAAAGUUGUCGCCUUUGGCAUUUGCUUUUUACCUACUAGUAUGUACCAGCCUACAACUUACUUAGUACAAGUACUUGCAAGCAGUAGUAGCGAUUGCUAUGUAGACCGAGUCAGCGGUCAGCGGUUGGUGUUCGCUAUUCAGGACUUGGCUGCGGAAAAAGAUUUGGUUGGAAGGAGCUACUGGUAGCUAAAAUUUACAUGCAAGCGAAGCGUCAGCAUGUCGGGAACAAAGGUACGCUAGUCGCUAGACCGGCUAUGUAAAGUUAGCAGUUAUGUUACCUGUACUACAACUAAGUAUAGCAACGAAGUCAAGACGCUUGCAACGAGCUUGAAACGGCAACGUCGUUACACGUAGCAGGUCAACACAGUAUGUCUUUGGAAGACGGAGUUCAACUUCGGUCAAGAAGUCCAGCAGCCACCAAGCGAACUGGCAUGGCUAGCAGUGGCCUCUGACAUAACGUCGAAAGUUCGGUCUUCGGACCUGUCCAUCGUGUCACAUCGUUUGUGACUUCUGUGGCUAUCCGUACACCGACCGACCUGCAGUGCAGACUGGAUAUGAGUGCGUUUGCAUACCAUGCCUUCGUUAUUAUUAUCAUUUUUUUUUGUAAACUGUCACCAAUAUCGACACGGACACGAAGCUGGCGAGCGACAGAAUAUGGAUAAGUGCAAAACGUACCAUUCUCACGCUAUCCAUUAGCCGACUGCGGCGUGCAGACCCUCAUCCGGAGUCAUUGCUGUUCGUUCAGUAGCCACUCAGUGGCACGGCAGAGAAAGCCACGAGCGAUGCGGAUGGCGUAGCAAAUCUGCUGAAGGAGGCAGUAAGAAACCCCGUCCAGCCGUUAAGCCAAAGCCAGUGGCUGGUUCUCGUCCUGCACACCUACGACAGCAAAUAUCCAAACCUGAAGAAGAGGUAGUGGAACCACCGUCGUCUUUUGAAAAGGACCCAAUACCAGGAUUAAUGGUACAUACUCUACUUCGUCGAGCACCCGGUUCGACAGGAAGACGCUUGCCAACUCGGCGUAGCACGGCUGCCAAGUCAGACUCUCUCUUUGUCAUGUAAUGUAUCAGAGAGGCUGAAACACUGAAACUGUCAAGUUGGAGGAGCUUUGAGAACUGCAAUAGAGUAUACCGAAAUUAUCAGUAAGUUGGUGAAAUCAAGGACUAGCUGUGCACUACACUGGUCUGGCAUGGUGCUGUUGCUGCUACAGUGUAGUAGUGGUGUACUGCGCUGCACUGGUUAGGCUAACGAGGUGAUCCUGCUAGUUGUGUAUUGCACUGCGCUGGUUAGGCUAACGUGGAGAUCCUGCUCAAGACCGGGGCGCUCUUGCUAGCCUCCAUGUUGCUGUUGUUCCCGGUCUUGGAAUCAGCUAACAGUUAUCAGCUAUGCGUGGUACUUGUGUGUCAUAUCUACUAGAUGUUCUGAUUUUGGCAAGUGAUUCUUUCCCCGCCCCCGCAGCCCCUUUUGCUUUCAGAAUAUUAUUAAUUCUUACAAAAUAAAACUGUUGUGCCGUAGGUAGUAUCAGGGGCGGAUCCAGGGGGUGCGAAGGGUGCAAAUGAACCCGUCAGGAUUUUCCAAAAAAAAAAAAAAAAAAAGCCAGGCCAGGCCCAGGCUCGCUGCGCGGAUCCGCGGAUGAUUUGUGUGCAAUCACGUGAUCGUUCUGGACACGUGCUCGCGCCAGGGCUGCACAUUUGGAAUAGAACUUUUUUGGAACUAACUGUUACUUUUUCACCGGCAACAAAGGCACUUCGAAGUUCUUUACUUUUGACGUUGCAUGUUUCAGUUGUCGUGUUAGCUUCAGGGAGUCGUCAUAUACCGGUAUUUGACGACUCCCUGAUUAGCUUCUUUCAAAUUCUCACUGCUUGUUCCGACUCCGUUUCCGUGCAUGCUGAGCGGAGAUGUCGGACACAGCUGGUGGACCAGCUGGUGAGACCAUCGAGCCUGCUGCUAAGCGUCGUUGUUAGAGCCCGGCAUCAUCCUUUUGACAUUGGGCGAUUUGCUGGAUUGAUGGAGAAUGCCAGCAAUGAUGACAUCAAGUCGCUCCUAGAUAAUGUUUGGAAGCCUUCGAACCGAACACACAUAACAUACUAUGUCUUUGGUUUACUAUUGCAAAAAAAAAUAUGUAAGUUUCAUCCUCGCACCCCUCAGCUUUGGGGUCUGGAUCCGCCCCUGAGUAUGUGCUGCAACAGUACGUCUAUUAUAUUACGAUUUGGAAAGUCUUGAAUUAUCGUUUCAUAGCCCCAUUCCUGAAGAUCGUUGAAUGACAUUGUGGAAUUACUCCCCUCUUUUAAUCAAUUUCCUUCUCAGAGUGACUCUGAUUCCUGCAUUUUGGUGAAUGGUGUGCAUAUCAAUAUUGUGCUGUUUGCAUAGUGCACGGUUAUUCCAUCACACCCUACAUGAUAGAUGUAUGGACUGGCAAUAGCCGUAGCAGCGUGCACUAAUGUGCCUGCUGCUGCACCCUAGCAUCCUGCACACUGUGGUAGCACUCAAGACCGUGAAUGUCAUUCUGCUAUUAAUAAACCAGUAUGUACACGCACGUGGAAAUGACAUCGUGCUGUUGAUCCACCGUUGUCUUUGUCAUAUUCCAGUGGUAUGCAGCUGCACUCAGUCUUUCACUUACUUCUCAUUGUUAUGUAGACCGCCCUUUCCCUAGUUAUGCUUUUAUCUCCUUUCAAGUCAAUCAUAAUAAUUAUGUAUGGAUACUUUUUUACACCGUUGAUGCAGAUCAUGAUUUUGAAUUCAGUGACAUUUCAGUCUCUUGAAUACUCGUAUGCUGUGCGCCCAGGAGUGCUGGAUACCUUGGCAACAAUCA